UCAUCAACAGCUACUGGCGUAACAGUUUCCCUCCCGAGCAGUGGUAGAGGAGAGACCAAGAAGCACGGAGGAAAGGACGCGAGCCGCGUGUUUGAGAAAGGACAGAGAUGAGUGAACGCUGCAAACAAGAAGAACGAAAAAAAUAAAACUCGUCAGCGGUAUAAACAAUAUCAUAAAUAUUGUUUUUGUAGCAACCAACAAACGGAGUGCGUCGAGGACUUUGCGUCUCCGUCGUCAUCGUUUUGCGGUUUCCCUUCGUGUUCAGGAGGGUGUGGAGUAUUCGGGCGCGUAGGGUAGUGGCAGAGGUGUGACUCCUGCAAGACGAUACAGUGUGCGCGGUCCUCCGUACCAGAUCGUGCUGCCAGAUGUGCUGCUAACAAAGCAAAGCGGAUUUGGGACUCAUCCACCAAGAGCGGCGGUGGCGAAGAGCGGCGACGACCCGUCGAGAUGCUGGGGUCGUCACAGUUGCACUUGCUGCAGCAUAGAGCAGAACGCCCAGAAGCCAUCGCCAACAUAUCGGCAGCGGACUAGGAGAGGUCGAGUGUGGUGCAAAAGGUCAUCAACAUAAUGAACCGUUUUCCCUCCGAUAGCGGGUGAAUAUCGCUGCUCCGGCGUGUUGAUGACAAUCAAAAUCGAGAGUUUAUCACCGUCGCCUACAUGGGGUGUACCCACGGUGGCGGAGGAAGAACCACACACCAGUUUUCGGUUUUGCGACGGGCUCCCGACUCGAUCGUUUGUCGAGGGGGGAGGUACCAAUUUGUUUACAUUUAACACCAGCAACCCGCCGAAAGGAGUCAGGCACCCAUAAAUUUGGACACUAAGGAGAAUUAGCGGCGCGUCAGUGCGAGGUGUCAGAAAUUUCGGUAGUAAUCAUGUUUCAUCGGUAUCACGUGGUUUUUCCAAACAAACCGUUAAAAGGGAAACGAAAUAAACUCGCGGCGACACAGGCGAAAUAUUAAUAA
Anopheles merus is the source of this 962-nucleotide long non-coding RNA. RefSeq lists it as uncharacterized. The transcript is spliced from 3 exons. Lineage: Eukaryota; Metazoa; Arthropoda; Insecta; Diptera; Culicidae. The record is from RefSeq and is a predicted model, not a curated record.